This 1437-nucleotide ribosomal RNA is filed under the name Salmonella enterica. RNAcentral's name for it is "partial 23S ribosomal RNA". It matches the Rfam family "Bacterial large subunit ribosomal RNA", at positions 1216 to 2637 of the family's 2925-position model. The record is from RNAcentral. Lineage: Bacteria; Pseudomonadati; Pseudomonadota; Gammaproteobacteria; Enterobacterales; Enterobacteriaceae.
UAGUGUUGUUGGGUAGGGGAGCGUUCUGUAAGCCGUUGAAGGUGUCCUGUGAGGGGUGCUGGAGGUAUCAGAAGUGCGAAUGCUGACAUAAGUAACGAUAAAGCGGGUGAAAAGCCCGCUCGCCGGAAGACCAAGGGUUCCUGUCCAACGUUAAUCGGGGCAGGGUGAGUCGACCCCUAAGGCGAGGCCGAAAGGCGUAGUCGAUGGGAAACGGGUUAAUAUUCCCGUACUUGGUGUUACUGCGAAGGGGGGACGGAGAAGGCUAUGUUGGCCGGGCGACGGUUGUCCCGGUUUAAGCGUGUAGGCUGGUUUUCCAGGCAAAUCCGGAAAAUCAAGGCUGAGGCGUGAUGACGAGGCACCACGGUGCUGAAGCAACAAAUGCCCUGCUUCCAGGAAAAGCCUCUAAGCAUCAGGUAACAUCAAAUCGUACCCCAAACCGACACAGGUGGUCAGGUAGAGAAUACCAAGGCGCUUGAGAGAACUCGGGUGAAGGAACUAGGCAAAAUGGUGCCGUAACUUCGGGAGAAGGCACGCUGACACGUAGGUGAAGUGAUUUACUCAUGGAGCUGAAGUCAGUCGAAGAUACCAGCUGGCUGCAACUGUUUAUUAAAAACACAGCACUGUGCAAACACGAAAGUGGACGUAUACGGUGUGACGCCUGCCCGGUGCCGGAAGGUUAAUUGAUGGGGUCAGCGCAAGCGAAGCUCCUGAUCGAAGCCCCGGUAAACGGCGGCCGUAACUAUAACGGUCCUAAGGUAGCGAAAUUCCUUGUCGGGUAAGUUCCGACCUGCACGAAUGGCGUAAUGAUGGCCAGGCUGUCUCCACCCGAGACUCAGUGAAAUUGAACUCGCUGUGAAGAUGCAGUGUACCCGCGGCAAGACGGAAAGACCCCGUGAACCUUUACUAUAGCUUGACACUGAACAUUGAGCCUUGAUGUGUAGGAUAGGUGGGAGGCUUUGAAGCGUGGACGCCAGUCUGCGUGGAGCCGACCUUGAAAUACCACCCUUUAAUGUUUGAUGUUCUAACGUGGACCCGUAAUCCGGGUUGCGGACAGUGUCUGGUGGGUAGUUUGACUGGGGCGGUCUCCUCCUAAAGAGUAACGGAGGAGCACGAAGGUUGGCUAAUCCUGGUCGGACAUCAGGAGGUUAGUGCAAUGGCAUAAGCCAGCUUGACUGCGAGCGUGACGGCGCGAGCAGGUGCGAAAGCAGGUCAUAGUGAUCCGGUGGUUCUGAAUGGAAGGGCCAUCGCUCAACGGAUAAAAGGUACUCCGGGGAUAACAGGCUGAUACCGCCCAAGAGUUCAUAUCGACGGCGGUGUUUGGCACCUCGAUGUCGGCUCAUCACAUCCUGGGGCUGAAGUAGGUCCCAAGGGUAUGGCUGUUCGCCAUUUAAAGUGGUACGCGAGCUGGGUUUAGAACGUCGUGAGACAGUUCGGUCC